RNAcentral lists this ribosomal RNA (459 nucleotides) under uncultured bacterium. RNAcentral describes it as "bacterial SSU rRNA". It matches the Rfam family "Bacterial small subunit ribosomal RNA", at positions 49 to 513 of the family's 1533-position model. The record is from RNAcentral.
UUACCAUGCAGUCGACGGUAACAGGUUAAGCUGACGAGUGGCGAACGGGUGAGUAAUGUAUCGGAACGUGCCCAGUCGUGGGGGAUAACUGCUCGAAAGAGCAGCUAAUACCGCAUACGACCUGAGGGUGAAAGCGGGGGAUCGCAAGACCUCGCGCGAUUGGAGCGGCCGAUAUCAGAUUAGGUAGUUGGUGAGGUAAAGGCUCACCAAGCCGACGAUCUGUAGCUGGUCUGAGAGGACGACCAGCCACACUGGGACUGAGACACGGCCCAGACUCCUACGGGAGGCAGCAGUGGGGAAUUUUGGACAAUGGGCGCAAGCCUGAUCCAGCCAUGCCGCGUGCGGGAAGAAGGCCUUCGGGUUGUAAACCGCUUUUGUCAGGGAAGAAAAGGUUCUGGCUAAUACCUGGGACUCAUGACGGUACCUGAAGAAUAAGCACCGGCUAACUACGUGCCAGCA